GACGGGGGGUGCAAGCGUUGUUCGGAAUCAUUGGGCGUAAAGCGUGUGCAGGUGGCUUUAUAAGUCAGAUGUGAAAGCCCCGAGCUUAACUCGGGAAGUGCAUUUGAAACUGUAAAGCUUGAGUAUGGAAGAGGGUCGUGGAAUUCCAGGUGUAGUGGUGAAAUACGUAGAUAUCUGGAGGAACACCGGUGGCGAAGGCGGCGACCUGGUCCAAUACUGACACUCAUACACGAAAGCGUGGGGAUCAAACAGG
Molecule: ribosomal RNA, 253 nt
Filed under: uncultured bacterium
Lineage: Bacteria
Description: partial 16S ribosomal RNA
Rfam family: Bacterial small subunit ribosomal RNA
Source: RNAcentral